GCACAAGCAGCGGAGCGUGUGGUUAAUUCGAUGUUACACGAAGAACCUUACCAGGGUUUGACAUGCAAGUGGUAGGAAGCCGAAAGGUGACCGACCCUUCGGGGAGCUUGCACAGGUGCUGCAUGGCUGUCGUCAGCUCGUGUCGUGAGAUGUUCGGUUAAGUCCGCUAACGAGCGCAACCCUCGCUGUGUGUUAUAUGUGUCACACGGGACUGCCGGUCUUAAGCCGGAGGAAGGUGGGGAUGAUGUCAAGUCAGCAUGGCCUUUAUAUCCUGGGCUACACACACGCUACAAUGGCCAACACAAUGGGUCGCUAAGCCGCAAGGUGGAGCCAAUCCUCAAAGUUGGCCUCAGUUCAGAUUGUAGGCUGCAACUCGCCUGCAUGAAGAUGGAGUUGCUAGUAAACGCAGGUCAGCUAUACUGCGUUGAAUACGUUCCCGGGGCUU
RNAcentral lists this ribosomal RNA (445 nucleotides) under uncultured Leptolinea sp. RNAcentral describes it as "bacterial SSU rRNA". It matches the Rfam family "Bacterial small subunit ribosomal RNA", at positions 923 to 1382 of the family's 1533-position model. Lineage: Bacteria; Bacillati; Chloroflexota; Anaerolineae; Anaerolineales; Anaerolineaceae. The record is from RNAcentral.